Molecule: transfer RNA, 70 nt
Filed under: Cumberlandia monodonta
Lineage: Eukaryota; Metazoa; Mollusca; Bivalvia; Unionida; Margaritiferidae
Description: tRNA-Glu
Source: RNAcentral
CCUACCAAACUGAUCGAGACUAUACAAUCCCCUUUCCAAUCAAAAAACCCCAACAUCCAACCAAUUGACU